This is a long non-coding RNA of Epinephelus lanceolatus (giant grouper), 1274 nucleotides long. RefSeq lists it as uncharacterized. The record is from RefSeq and is a predicted model, not a curated record. NCBI's taxonomy places the organism in Eukaryota, Metazoa, Chordata, Actinopteri, Perciformes, Serranidae.
GACAAACUCGAGUCACUGCAACGUAAAUCCAACGCACCCUUUCACCUUUGCAUGGCGGACCACUUGAGCUUUCAGUGGCGCUGCUCCCAUCGCUGCUGUGUUGCACGUUUGCAAACUUUGUUGUGCUACAAACAAGUCGCACUCUGCAUCGUGUCUUCACCUGCACAGGUGCACUGAAAGCCUUGGACCUCCUGUUGAGAUGCGGCUGCUUUACUCCACCAAGGGGCCCUCGACUUUUGAGCUCUGACGCUGAGACGCAGACCGGCCCUGACAUCCUGAGGAGUGUCACUGUGUAAUGUGACACACUUCAGGAGAUUACAAGUUUCAACAGGUUACCAGAUCACACACCACAAACACCACAAACUGCUGCUUGUCCACAGGAACACAUCAGAUGACGAUAACACAACACUGAGGACAGGAAGAAAUACGUUGCCAUGGAAAAGAAAAGCAUAACACAGAUCAAGAAUAGAUUUUUUUUUAAUUAUCAAAAGUGUAACUCAUGUACAAUUCCCUGAAGAAAGAAUGACUGAUAGAAACUGUUAAGACAGUGUAACAAACCAUUCUCCCUCUGUUUUAAUCAGUUCAUCAAUCAGAUGUUCAAAGACGUAAUCACCUUCUCAACCCAAUCUACAGCAAAAAGUCUUUGCAUUUUAAGUUUCUGCAAACAACGAAUACGCUACAUUUAUACAUUAUUUUGUAGCUGAUCUGUUGAAUCUUUCCGAAUCACUGGGGCAAAGGUGUGGUUAGGUUUUGGCACAAAAAUCAGCUGGUAAUUGUUUGGAAAAGAUCGUGUUUUGGCUUAAAACACCCGCAUUAGGUGCCACAAAACCCGCUGGAAAAGCAGAGAUGGGUUGGUGAAAAACACCCAAAUUCGGUGAUUAAAGCGGCGCAAUGUGUGUCGGUAAAAAACACCCAGGUUUGAUGGCUCAAAGGCUGCUGGGAAACCCUGCAAUAUGCUGCUAGAAACACCUAUGUUGAGAACCAAAAACACCCACACAAAUGCCACAAAGGGUCGCCAGAAAAAAAGUUGUCUGCAGCUUUAGAGACGAUAUGAAACAUAUUCAUUGUUUGCAGAAACAUAAAAUGUGAACAUUUUCUUCUGGCAAACUGGGCUUGUAUUCUGUAUAAGCAGAAGGGAUGAGGACAAUCAUACUUCAUUCCAUGAGUACAGCAACCACGGCACAUGAUAACCGAAAACAUAAUGAUACAGUAAAGAGGCAACGGAAGACACCGAAUAAAAAGACAAUUGUUGAAUCACAAAAAAAAAAAAAAAA